Molecule: transfer RNA, 72 nt
Organism: Ovis aries (sheep)
Lineage: Eukaryota; Metazoa; Chordata; Mammalia; Artiodactyla; Bovidae
Rfam family: tRNA
About the family: Transfer RNA (tRNA) molecules are approximately 80 nucleotides in length. Their secondary structure includes four short double-helical elements and three loops (D, anti-codon, and T loops).
Source: Rfam
UCCCAGGUGGUUCAGUGGUAAAGAAUCUGCCUGCCAAGGCAGAAGACACAGGUUCAAGCCCUGGAUUGGGAA